GCAUAUCAAUAAGCGGAGGAAAAGAAACUAACAAGGAUUCCCCUUAGUUAACGGCGAAGUGAAGAAGGGAAGAAGCCCAAGAAUUGAAAGCUGGCGUCUUCGGCGUCCGCAUUUGUAAUCUCAAGAAGUGUUUUCCGCUUCGGACCAUGCCUAAGUCCCUUGGAAAAGGGCAUCAUAGAGGGUGAUAAUCCCGUACAUGGCAUGGAGCGCCCGUAGCUUUGUGAUACGCUUUCUAAGAGUCGAGUUGUUUGGGAAUGCAGCUCAAAAUGGGUGGUAAAUGCCAUCUAAGGCUAAAUAUUGGGGAGAGACCGAUAGCGAACAAGUACAGUGAUGGAAAGAUGAAAAGAACUUUGAAAAGAGAGUUAAACAGUACGUGAAAUUGCCAAAAGGGAAGGGUAGGAGGUCAGAGAUGCGUCUUGGGAUUCAGCCUUGCUUUUGCCUGGUGUUUUUCCCAAGCUGCAGGCCAACGUCGGUUUUGGGCACUGGAGAAGGGUAGGAGGAACGUGGCACCUCUCGGGGUGUGUUAUAGCCUCCUACUGGAUACAGCGACCGAGACCGAGGAACGCAGCGUACUCGUAAGAGCGGGCCUUUUGGCACCUUUACGCUUAGGGCGUUGGCAUAAUGGCCCUCUACCACCCGUCUUGAAACACGGACCAAGGAGUCUAACAUGUAUGCGAGUCUUUGGGUGGCAAACCCAUAGGCGCAAUGAAAGUGAAUUCAGGUGGGAUCCGCAAGGUGCACCAUCGACCGAUCCUCACGUCUUUUAAGUCGUGGAUUUGAGUAAGAGCAUACCUGUUGGGACCCGAAAGAUGGUGAACUAUGCCUGAAUAGGGUGAAAGCCAGAGGAAACUCUGGUGGAGGCUCGUAGCGGUUCUGACGUGCAAAUCGAAUCGUCAAAUUUGGGUAAUAGGGGGCGAAAGACUAAUCGAACCAUCUAGUAGCUGGGUUCCUGCCGAA
RNAcentral lists this ribosomal RNA (957 nucleotides) under Mycosarcoma maydis (corn smut). RNAcentral's name for it is "LSU rRNA". It matches the Rfam family "Eukaryotic large subunit ribosomal RNA", at positions 38 to 965 of the family's 3401-position model. Lineage: Eukaryota; Fungi; Basidiomycota; Ustilaginomycetes; Ustilaginales. The record is from RNAcentral.